GUAAUAUUUGUCCUUUUUAACAACUUGUAUGAUUAAAAUGUAUAAUCUUUCAGUUAUAUUACUAGUAUACAAUACAAAAUUGAAAUCUGUUCAUAAAUGAAUUAUUUCUAUGCAUAUCACAAAUAAGAAUACAUGACUUGUAAAUUCAAAAUCAAAUUGUUAAUAAAUUUAUGUGAAUCAACUCAUAAAUAUGCCUAGAAGAACUCAUUUAUUAAACAAGCACCUCAGGCAUGACUCAUUCAUCAGACAAACUUUAGAAGUAAGCUCAAGUAAAUUUUAAUGAGCGGAACUCCCAACUUAGUAAUUUACCCACUUUUGAAAGUCCUAUUUUAGCCUUACCAGAAAAAAAAAACAUCACCUAAUGCAUAGUAAUAUCUAGAAGUAAAUAUUCAAAAAGGUGAAAGUUUUAUUCCUAUACUUGAUAUCAACUAUCACAAAAAGAACUACCAUAUCUUUCCUUGCACCCGCCAAACUUUUUUUAAUUUAUUCUAAGUUGCAAGAAGAAAAUAAAAGAAGACAUCUUAAGGGUUCCUAUUUAUUUAAUAUAGAAAAGUUUCUAUUUAUUAGAAUUAGAAAAUAACACCUUAUACAAUUGUUAAGUAUUGCAUUUAGAAAUAAUUCAAGUUCAAGAGUAUAACCAUUUCCUG
RNAcentral lists this unclassified non-coding RNA (647 nucleotides) under Hevea brasiliensis (rubber tree). Lineage: Eukaryota; Viridiplantae; Streptophyta; Magnoliopsida; Malpighiales; Euphorbiaceae. The record is from RNAcentral.